GGGAUUGUAGCUCAGUGGCAGAGCGCUCACCUAACAUGUGGGAGGUGCUGGGUUUGAUCCUCAGCACCA
This is a non-coding RNA of Ictidomys tridecemlineatus (thirteen-lined ground squirrel), 69 nucleotides long. The record is from Rfam. NCBI's taxonomy places the organism in Eukaryota, Metazoa, Chordata, Mammalia, Rodentia, Sciuridae.